GGAGAGGUGGCCGAGUGGUUUAAGGCACACGCCUGGAAAGUGUGCGUACAGUUCUAACUGUACCGCGGGUUCGAAUCCCGCCUUCUCCGCCA
Molecule: transfer RNA, 92 nt
Filed under: Nitrosospira sp.
Lineage: Bacteria; Pseudomonadati; Pseudomonadota; Betaproteobacteria; Nitrosomonadales; Nitrosomonadaceae
Also listed under: 1 other name
Description: tRNA-Ser
Rfam family: tRNA
About the family: Transfer RNA (tRNA) molecules are approximately 80 nucleotides in length. Their secondary structure includes four short double-helical elements and three loops (D, anti-codon, and T loops). Further hydrogen bonds mediate the characteristic L-shaped molecular structure. tRNAs have two regions of fundamental functional importance: the anti-codon, which is responsible for specific mRNA codon recognition, and the 3' end, to which the tRNAs corresponding amino acid is attached (by aminoacyl-tRNA synthetases). tRNAs cope with the degeneracy of the genetic code in two manners: having more than one tRNA (with a specific anti-codon) for a particular amino acid; and 'wobble' base-pairing, i.e. permitting non-standard base-pairing at the 3rd anti-codon position.
Source: RNAcentral